AAAAACAGAAAAUGUCGGCUUUCAAGAGCAAAUACCAGGACGAGCUUAUUGCUAAUGCUGCAUACAUUGGUACUCCUGGGAAGGGUAUCCUUGCUGCUGAUGAGUCAACUGGUACCAUUGGCAAGCGUCUUUCUAGCAUUAAUGUCGAGAAUGUUGAGGAGAACAGGCGUGCUCUCCGAGAGCUUCUGUUCUUUUUGAGGAGACCCUCUAUCAGAAGACAGCUUCCGGUAAGCCCUUUGUUGAGCUUUUGAAGGAAGGUGGAGUUCUCCCUGGUAUCAAGGUCGACAAGGGCACUGUUGAGCUUCCUGGUACCAAUGGUGAGACCACCACCCAGGGUCUUGAUGGCCUUGCACAGCGUUGGCAGAAGUACUAUGAAGCUGGUGCUCGAUUUGCCAAAUGGUGUGCUGUGCUCAAGAUUGGCGCAACUGAGCCAUCGCAGCUGGCCAUCAACGAUAAUGCCAAUGGUUUGGCCCGAUAUGCUAUCAUCUGCCAGGAAAAUGGCUUGGUCCCCAUAGUUGAGCCAGAGAUUCUGGUUGAUGGACCCCAUGAUAUUGAGAAGUGUGCUGAUGUGACUGAACGCGUGCUUGCUGCUGUUUACAAAGCUCUAAAUGAUCACCAUGUCCUGCUUGAGGGAACUUUGUUGAAGCCCAACAUGGUGACCCCAGGAUCUGAGGCACCAAAGGUUGCACCAGAGGUGAUUGCUAAGUACACUGUUACGGCACUACAGCGAACUAUGCCUCCUGCAGUUCCUGCAGUUGUUUUCUUGUCUGGUGGUCAGAGGGAGGAGGAGGCAACCCUCAACCUAAAUGCAAUGAACAAAUACAAGGGAAAGAAGCCAUGGAGUCUUUCAUUCUCCUUUGGGCGGGCCCUUCAGCAGAGCACUCUCAAGACUUGGGCUGGAAAGCCGGAAAAUUUUGAGAAGGCUCAGGCUGCUUUCCUUUCCAGGGCCAAGGUAAACUCAGAGGCAACCCUGGGAAUUUACAAGGGCGAUGCAAAACUCAGUGAGGGUGCCUCGGAGAGCCUUCACGUGAAGGACUAUAAGUACUGAUGAAGUUAAGCAUCUGGUGGUUUGCGUUUUCUUUUGGAGAGUUGAUGCGGUAUGUUUUGGGUUUGUUCUAUUCUCAGCAUAGGUUAGGGCACCUUUCCAAUGUUCUUUGUUAUCUCAGCCCUAAUAGAGGAUGGUGGUAGCAUAAUAAAAGCUUGAGGAGCAUUCGCUUGGUGA
Molecule: RNA transcript, 1222 nt
Organism: Juglans microcarpa x Juglans regia
Lineage: Eukaryota; Viridiplantae; Streptophyta; Magnoliopsida; Fagales; Juglandaceae
Gene name: fructose-bisphosphate aldolase 6, cytosolic-like
Exons: 1
Source: RefSeq, a predicted model, not a curated record